Molecule: long non-coding RNA, 887 nt
Organism: Rhododendron vialii
Lineage: Eukaryota; Viridiplantae; Streptophyta; Magnoliopsida; Ericales; Ericaceae
Exons: 2
Source: RefSeq, a predicted model, not a curated record
AAAGACCAAUUUUCAUUUGAUUUCGUGGACUGACGAAUUAACCAGAAGGCACAGAGCCACCCAAACAUCAAUUUUUUAGCCCUUUCCCACUACCCAAUCAUGCUAAUUAUUAUUAUUUUUUUAUAGGAAACAAAUUUUUAUAUAUUAGAAACUCAAAAAAGGGGAUCCAAGAUAUAUGCCUGUCCGCAAAUUCGGCUUAUCUAAAAGAAUAGUUUAUGUACUUUUUGAUAAAGAAAGACUUAUUUUUCUAUUCCCAUUGCAAUAAGGGCAUCCCUCUGAUGGAUGUGAAGUUUACGAAGGUAGAGACUUUAGUCUUCCUACGAUCUCUCUUAGAAGAAGAAACUCUGAAACUCACCCGACGACUCUUCUUAUGAAGUCAAUUGUACAGAGUACAUCGAGAGAGAGAUCAAUUACAGACCACAUAUAUUGAGUGAAAGAAAGAAGAAUGUUAAAAAAAAAAAAAAAGUGUUUACGCGAUUCAGUCACAGAUUGUAACUUACAUUAACAAGAUCAGAGGGGAGGAGAAAUCUUAUUCGUGAGUAGUUGUGAAACAUUGAGUCAUUAUACUGUGUUCACUGCUGAGAGAGAGAGAGAGAGAGAGAGAGAGAGAGAGACCUGCUUUCUUAGAAAGGUUUCUCCAACUGCCUUCCCCAUGGAGCUUAAUGUAAUCUCUCAGAAUUUUGUCUUCAGACGCAGUCCAUGCACCUCUGUUCAACCCUUCCUUUGCGCAACAGGGGCUUCUCCCCAUCUACCUUGAAUAUUUUAGGAAAUAUCUAUAUUCUGCGCACUCUCUCUCUCUCUCUCUCUCUACUUUAACCCAAGUCUCCACCGGUGUUGGAAAUUCAGUGGAGAGCUGUGCUUCUUAUGGGGUGGUUUCUAAUUGUCAU